CGGGAACUCAAAGGAGACUGCCAGUGAUAAACUGGAGGAAGGUGGGGAUGACGUCAAGUCAUCAUGGCCCUUACGACCAGGGCUACACACGUGCUACAAUGGCGCAUACAAAGAGAAGCGACCUCGCGAGAGCAAGCGGACCUCAUAAAGUGCGUCGUAGUCCGGAUUGGAGUCUGCAACUCGACUCCAUGAAGUCGGAAUCGCUAGUAAUCGUGGAUCAGAAUGCCACGGUGAAUACGUUCCCGGGCCUUGUACACACCGCCCGUCACACCAUGGGAGUGGGUUGCAAAAGAAGUAGGUAGCUUAACCUUCGGGAGGGCGCUUACCACUUUGUGAUUCAUGACUGGGGUGAAGUCGUAACAAGGUAACCGUAGGGGAACCUGCGGUUGGAUCACCUCCUUACCUUAAAGAA
Molecule: ribosomal RNA, 412 nt
Filed under: Salmonella enterica subsp. enterica serovar Muenchen
Lineage: Bacteria; Pseudomonadati; Pseudomonadota; Gammaproteobacteria; Enterobacterales; Enterobacteriaceae
Also listed under: 19 other names
Description: bacterial SSU rRNA
Rfam family: Bacterial small subunit ribosomal RNA
Source: RNAcentral